GCCGUGGUAGCUCAGCCUGGUGGAGCGUCGGACUCAUAAUCCGAAGGUCACGGGUUCAAAUCCCGCCCACGGCA
This 74-nucleotide transfer RNA is filed under the name Methanobacteriota archaeon. RNAcentral's name for it is "Euryarchaeota archaeon (soil metagenome) tRNA-Met". It matches the Rfam family "tRNA". Rfam says of the family: Transfer RNA (tRNA) molecules are approximately 80 nucleotides in length. Their secondary structure includes four short double-helical elements and three loops (D, anti-codon, and T loops). RNAcentral also lists the same sequence under 1 other name. Lineage: Archaea; Methanobacteriati; Methanobacteriota. The record is from RNAcentral.